RNAcentral lists this ribosomal RNA (443 nucleotides) under uncultured bacterium. RNAcentral describes it as "partial 16S ribosomal RNA". It matches the Rfam family "Bacterial small subunit ribosomal RNA", at positions 338 to 795 of the family's 1533-position model. The record is from RNAcentral.
CCUACGGGCGGCAGCAGUGGGGAAUAUUGGGCAAUGGGCGCAAGCUUGACCCAGCAACGCCGCGUGAAGGAAGAAGGCCCUCGGGUUGUAAACUUCUUUUAUUCGGGACGAAACAAAUGACGGUACCGAAUGAAUAAGCCACGGCUAACUACGUACCAGCAGCCGCGGUAAUACGUAGGUGGCAAGUGUUAUCCGGAUUUACUGGGUGUAAAGGGCGUGGAGGCGGGAGAGCAAGUCAGACGUGAAAUUCCAGGGCUCAACCCUGGAACUGGGUUUGAAACUGGUCGUCUAGAGUGAUGGAGAGGCAGGCGGAAGUCCGUGGGUAGCGGUGAAAUGCGUAGAUAUACGGAGGAACACCAGAGGCGAAGGCAGCCUGCUGGACAUUAACUGACGCUGAGGCGCGAAAGCGUGGGGAGCAAACAGGAUUAGAUACCCGUGUAGUC